RNAcentral lists this transfer RNA (69 nucleotides) under Megalodontes cephalotes. RNAcentral describes it as "tRNA-Ser". The record is from RNAcentral. Lineage: Eukaryota; Metazoa; Arthropoda; Insecta; Hymenoptera; Megalodontesidae.
AGUUAAUGAACUUGAAAUAAGUUUAUGUCUUGAAAACAUAAUAUAGAAAUUGAAAUUUUCUAUUAACUU